GAUGAACGCUGGCGGCGUGCCUAAUACAUGCAAGUCGAGCGAACAGAUGAGGAGCUUGCUCCUCUGACGUUAGCGGCGGACGGGUGAGUAACACGUGGAUAACCUACCUAUAAGACUGGGAUAACUUCGGGAAACCGGAGCUAAUACCGGAUAAUAUAUUGAACCGCAUGGUUCAAUAGUGAAAGACGGUUUUGCUGUCUCUUAUAGAUGGAUCCGCGCCGCAUUAGCUAGUUGGUAAGGUAACGGCUUACCAAGGCAACGAUGCGUAGCCGACCUGAGAGGGUGAUCGGCCGCACUGGAAGUGAGACACGGUCCAGACUCCUACGGGAGGCAGCAGUAGGGAAUGUGCCGCAAAAGGCGAAAGCCUGACGGAGCGACGCCGCGUGUGUGAUGAAGGUCUUCGGAUCGUAAAACUCUGUUAUUAGGGAAGAACAAAUGUGUAAGUAACUAUGCACGUCUUGACGGUACCUGAUCAGAAAGCCACGGCUAACUACGUG
This 497-nucleotide ribosomal RNA is filed under the name uncultured bacterium. RNAcentral's name for it is "partial 16S ribosomal RNA". It matches the Rfam family "Bacterial small subunit ribosomal RNA", at positions 28 to 507 of the family's 1533-position model. The record is from RNAcentral.